CGAGCGGUAACAGGGGUAGCUUGCUACCCGCUGACGAGCGGCGGACGGGUGAGUAAUGCAUAGGAAUCUGCCCGAUAGUGGGGGAUAACCUGGGGAAACCCAGGCUAAUACCGCAUACGUCCUACGGGAGAAAGGGGGCUCCGGCUCCCGCUAUUGGAUGAGCCUAUGUCGGAUUAGCUAGUUGGUAAGGUAAUGGCUUACCAAGGCAACGAUCCGUAGCUGGUCUGAGAGGAUGAUCAGCCACAUCGGGACUGAGACACGGCCCGAACUCCUACGGGAGGCAGCAGUGGGGAAUAUUGGACAAUGGGGGCAACCCUGAUCCAGCCAUGCCGCGUGUGUGAAGAAGGCCCUCGGGUUGUAAAGCACUUUCAGCGAGGAAGAACGCCUAUCGGUUAAUACCCGGUAGGAAAGACAUCACUCGCAGAAGAAGCACCGGCUAACUCCGUGCCAGCAGCCGCGGUAAUACGGAGGGUGCAAGCGUUAAUCGGAAUUACUGGGCGUAAAGCGCGCGUAGGUGGCUUGAUAAGCCGGUUGUGAAAGCCCCGGGCUCAACCUGGGAACGGCAUCCGGAACUGUCAGGCUAGAGUGCAGGAGAGGAAGGUAGAAUUCCCGGUGUAGCGGUGAAAUGCGUAGAGAUCGGGAGGAAUACCAGUGGCGAAGGCGGCCUUCUGGACUGACACUGACACUGAGGUGCGAAAGCGUGGGU
Molecule: ribosomal RNA, 706 nt
Filed under: Vreelandella titanicae
Lineage: Bacteria; Pseudomonadati; Pseudomonadota; Gammaproteobacteria; Oceanospirillales; Halomonadaceae
Description: bacterial SSU rRNA
Rfam family: Bacterial small subunit ribosomal RNA
Source: RNAcentral